ACCCGCUGAAUUUAAGCAUAUUAAUAAGCGGAGGAAAAGAAACUAACCAGGAUUCCCCUAGUAACGGCGUGUGAAACGGGAACAGCGCAAAUUUGAAAUCUGGGUCUUUUGGACUCCGAGUUGUAAUUUAUGGAGUGUACAUCACAGUUAUCUCAGCUAUGCUCAAAUGUUUUUGGAACAUACUGCCAGAGAGGGUGAUAGCCCCGUUUGUAGUGUAGUUUUAUGAGGUGGCAACAUGUGUUGUACUCUUUGAGAGUCGGGUUGCUUGGGAUUGCAGCCUAAAAUGCGUGGUAAAUCUCACGUAACGCUAAAUAUUGACGAGAGACCGAUAGCGAACAAGUAGUGUGAACGAAAGAAGAAAAGAACUUUGAAAAGAGAGUGAAAAGUCCUUGAAAUUGUUAAAAGGGAAGCGCUUAAAACCAGUCUUUGUAUCUUAUUUUCAAUAAGUAUCUUUGUUUCUGUUCCGCAAUUCCUUCGGGAAAUGUGUCACUCAGUGAUAAAGAUAGGUUAAUAUCAAUUCAUUAUCAAGUAAAAGUCUGUUGAAGAAGGUGGGAUUGGCUUCUUGCUUUGGUGAGUUCUGAUCUUCAAGGCUUCAAUUGGUGCUACUUGGUGAUGGAUUGAGGAAUUUCACAGUAGUUAUCUUGUUGUCUUUUAUGUGUUGUGAUAUGUAACACUGGGAAAAAUCUUUCUGUUGCAUUGAUCAGUAUGUAAAGAGGGCAGUAAGGUGCUGCAUGUGAGGAUAUUAACACAAUGGUUUUAAUCGACCCGUCUUGAAACACGGACCAAGGAGUCUAACAAAUAUGCGAGUAUGAAGGUGUACUUUUAUUAUCUAAACCUUUGGAUGCACAAUGAAAGUAAAGACAAUUCUUUUAGAAUUGUUCAAGUGGGAUCUCACAUUAGGUUGUGAAGAGCACCAUUGACCGAUCAGGAUAGAAGGAGCAAUCCUUUUGAAAGAUUUGAGUAAGAGCAUAUCUGUUGGGACCCGAAAGAUGGUGAACUAUGGGUGAGUAGGGCGAAGUCAGAGGAAACUCUGAUGGAGGCUCGAAGCGAUGCUGACGUGCAAAUCGCUCGUCAAACUUGCCUAUAGGGGCGAAAGACUAAUCGAACCAUCUAGUAGCUGGUUCCCUUCGAAGUUUCCCUCAGGAUAGCAGGAGUUAUGUAGUAAACAGUUAUGUCUGGUAAAGCGAAUGAUUAGAGGUCCUGGGGAAGAAACUUCCUCAACCUAUUCUCAAACUUUAAAUAGGCAUGAUAUUGUGGUUGCUUCAAUAUUUUUGAACCACAAUUACGAAUGGCAAACUCCUAGUGGGCCAUUCCUGGUAAGCAGGACUGGCGAUGUGGGAUGAACCAAACGUUGAGUUAAAGUGCCAGAAUGUACACUCAUAUAGAUACCAGAAAAGGUGUUGGUUGAUACAGACAGAAGGACGGUGGCCAUGGAAGUUGGAAUCCGCUAAGGAGUGUGUAACAACUCACCUUCCGAAUCAACUAGCCCUGAAAAUGGAUGGCGCUAAAGUGUACUACUUAUACUCAACCUUCUAGGCAAAUAUUCUUUAUGUCUAGAAGAGUAGAAGGGCGUGGAGUUUCUGUAGAAGCCUAUGAGCGUGAGCUUGGGUGGAAGAAACUCUAGUGCAGAUCUUGGUGGUAG
Molecule: ribosomal RNA, 1642 nt
Filed under: Paramoeba pemaquidensis
Lineage: Eukaryota; Discosea; Flabellinia; Dactylopodida; Paramoebidae
Description: eukaryotic LSU rRNA
Rfam family: Eukaryotic large subunit ribosomal RNA
Source: RNAcentral